AAGGCAGUGGCAAAGGCAAAAACUACAAGCCCCACUAACCGGAUGACGAUAUUUUCACACCCCCAAGCAAGGAGGACGACUUUCCCAUAGAAAACAGUAGACAACUCAGCGUGUGCCAAGCUCAAAGCCCAAAGUCGAAGGUAUGAAGCCGUAUUUGAGACUGCACCAAGAAUAAACUCUAUGGAGUGGAUCAUUUGAUGCAAAAACACCUCACUGAAAUUAAAAUCGUCAUGAUGUGAUCGUGCAGAACCAGGCUCCAUAUCAAGAUCCAUCUCAGAGGUGCCAAGAAUCCCA
RNAcentral lists this unclassified non-coding RNA (294 nucleotides) under Hevea brasiliensis (rubber tree). The record is from RNAcentral. Lineage: Eukaryota; Viridiplantae; Streptophyta; Magnoliopsida; Malpighiales; Euphorbiaceae.